CCAACAUCUUCAGGUCCUUUCGAGAGGGGCAGGAGCCCUAGGCCCGGGGCACAGGGGGAGUGCGGUGCUGUGUGGGUGUGGGUGUAGGGGCUGAUACUAGUGUGAAGAGGUGGGGACCAGAGUGACAGCGGUUAGACAGAGAGAGGAGCUGAUCUCAAAUAGGAUGCCCGCAGAGUGAAGACUGAAGUGCAGAGGGACCCGGGCAUGCCUGGAGUCAGAGGGUCAUGCCCGCCUCCUGGGGUCCCCAGCUUUGCCUUCACCUGCCAACCUGCCUCUUGGUUCAGCUCUAGUUGGGAGCAGAGAGUCCCCGUGGGCCCCUAAGGGUGAAGCCUUGUUGGGCUGGGACAGAGAUGCAGAGAUGGGGCCAGCCUCCCAGGGGAGAACUGAGGGGGCUGGGGUGGAAGCUGGGAGAGGAGAGGCUGACCUUUGCAUGACGAAAAUAUUACAGUAUUUUUCAAAACACUCUAACAAAUCUGUACAUAUUGAUAUGCAAAAAAUUCCAUGACAACUUGUUGAGUGAAAAAAAAUGUAUUACAAAGCAGCAUGUGUGGUGUUUACAUAAAAUGACAUAUAUACGUGGGUGUGUGUGUGUGUGUGUGUGUGUGGGUGUGUGUGUGUGUGCACACAUGCAAAAGAGUGGUAUUUGGGGAGUGAUGUCUGGAAGAAUAUUCGCCAAAAUCUUAAUCCUGCGUGCCUCUGCUAUUUUUACCUUUUGGUACUGCUGAAAAUUUCUAUAUGAGUGUGUUUUACCUUUAAGUAGGAAAACGCCCAAUAAUAUUUUCAAUGGGGGGGGAUUCUUUCCAUCACAAAAGGAAUAUAACUACAUUAGUCAACAGAAAAGAAAAAUAGAGAAAGACAAGUGCCCGCGGUGCUAUCACCAAGGCAGCCCUUCAGAACAUGUGGUGGGUUUCCUUCCUGUCACCCGGCUCUGAAGCUGUUCAAAGUGGCUUUUCCAUCCAGGUAUGAUACUAGACUGGAAAGUGCCACACAGAUGUCCCCUCUCGUGG
This 1007-nucleotide long non-coding RNA is filed under the name Sus scrofa (pig). RNAcentral's name for it is "lncRNA (ENSSSCG00015047477.1)". The record is from RNAcentral. Lineage: Eukaryota; Metazoa; Chordata; Mammalia; Artiodactyla; Suidae.